UGCGUAGGCGGACUAAUAAGUCAGUGGUGAAAUCUUGCAGCUUAACUGUAAAACUGCCAUUGAUACUGUUAGUCUUGAAUUUAGUUGAGGUAGGCGGAAUGUAUUGUGUAGCGGUGAAAUGCAUAGAUAUAAUACAGAACACCGAUUGCGAAGGCAGCUUACUAAGCUAUAAUUGACGCUGAUGCACGAAAGCGUGGGGAGCGAACAGGAUUAGAUACCCUGGUAGUCC
This 229-nucleotide ribosomal RNA is filed under the name uncultured bacterium. Its description in RNAcentral is "partial 16S ribosomal RNA". It matches the Rfam family "Bacterial small subunit ribosomal RNA", at positions 568 to 796 of the family's 1533-position model. The record is from RNAcentral.